AAUAAGGUGCCUGAUUAAAGGGUUAUUUUGAUAGAAUAGAUUAUGUGAGCUUGCUCACCCUCAUUA
Molecule: transfer RNA, 66 nt
Filed under: Mystonectes coelamboides
Lineage: Eukaryota; Metazoa; Arthropoda; Insecta; Coleoptera; Dytiscidae
Description: tRNA-Ile
Source: RNAcentral